RNAcentral lists this non-coding RNA (26 nucleotides) under Cricetulus griseus (Chinese hamster). The record is from RNAcentral. Lineage: Eukaryota; Metazoa; Chordata; Mammalia; Rodentia; Cricetidae.
UGUAACAGAUGCCCUCAUGUUGUGCU